CUAAUUAUCUAUCAGGGGAGACUCACGAUCACAAAGCUUUUUUCCCAGAAAAAGACUUAUCCAUCACCUUUCCAAUAUGCUGGCCUCUGCAAUUCCUCAAAUGGAAGCAACUUGACCACAUAAGUUGUGGUAGUGGAGAACUGAAUUCACAAUCCCCUC
RNAcentral lists this small nuclear RNA (159 nucleotides) under Jaculus jaculus (lesser Egyptian jerboa). RNAcentral's name for it is "U1 spliceosomal RNA (ENSJJAG00000004539.1)". The record is from RNAcentral. Lineage: Eukaryota; Metazoa; Chordata; Mammalia; Rodentia; Dipodidae.